RNA transcript from Lucilia sericata (common green bottle fly), 2379 nucleotides. It is a transcript of the gene named serine-arginine protein 55, with no coding region annotated. The record is from RefSeq and is a predicted model, not a curated record. NCBI's taxonomy places the organism in Eukaryota, Metazoa, Arthropoda, Insecta, Diptera, Calliphoridae. The transcript is spliced from 7 exons.
ACUUUUUGAUUACGAAUGAAAAUUCACUCUUCGUUCGUUUUCGGAACACGCGCUUGAUACGUCGUGAGUUUUUAAUCAUUGUUUUUAUGUGUGCUGUGAAAAAAGUGAAAAUUUUCCGAAAUAAUUAAGAUAAAAAGUAUAAUUGAAAUCAAUAAAUUGUUAAGCUAAAUUUAUUUAGCAAAGCUUAAAAACACAGAUUAAAUAAAUAAAACAAUGGUGGGUUCACGAGUGUAUGUUGGAGGUUUACCAUAUGGUGUAAGAGAACGAGAUUUAGAGCGUUUCUUUAAAGGCUAUGGACGAACACGCGACAUUUUAAUUAAAAAUGGCUACGGUUUUGUGGAAUUUGAAGAUUACCGUGAUGCAGAUGACGCGGUCUAUGAAUUAAAUGGGAAAGAGCUAUUGGGCGAAAGAGUUGUGGUUGAACCUGCUCGUGGCACAGCUCGUGGUAGCCAUAGGGAUCGUUAUGACCGCUAUGAUGGUGGUCGUCGUGGUGGUGGACGUUACAAUGACAAAAAUAAAAACAACAGAUCAAACUCCCGCUAUGGUCCACCAUUGCGCACUGAAUAUCGUCUAAUUGUAGAGAAUUUGUCCAGUCGUGUUAGCUGGCAGUGCGUGUCCUAAACUAAAAUACAUACAAGUGGUGUUUCAAAAAUUAGGUGAACAAAAUACAAAUGGGUCAAAUACGAAUAUGCACUUCAGAACGGAAACUAUCCAAUAAUAAUCAGUUGUAUUGUGGGUCCUAAUCAUAUGUGCUAUCUUCCACAAAUUCUCAAUUAGAUGUGCGACUAUCGUUAUCAUGCUAAUAUAAAGAAAGGUGUUGGCAAAUGAUAAUACAAAUAAAAACCAUUAUGAUAUUGAUAAAGUUGGUCAAGUUAGUCAACAAAACCAUGUAUUCCAAUUGAUGAUUGAACAUUUUCAACACUAAUCGUCGUUCAACGUGCAAAAAAUGAUGAUCGAUUGAUGCGUACUUGCUUUAUACUAAGGAAGAACCGAAAAAAGAACUAUUUCAUUUAAAUAGAUAAUAUAGAAGACGUAUUUGUUUUGUCAGAGAUGCCAUUCAAGUUCAGGUUUCUUAACGUACAUAAAUUGUUUAAUUACCUUCAGCGCAGAAGAUGCUUACGAAUGACAUCGCAAACUGAUCGCUUUUAAAAAUGCUAUGCGUAUACGAACGAGUGUAAAGUCUCAUAACUCAAAACAUACACAACAAUCUGUAGCCACUAGCUUAUAAAAAAGACAAUUUCAUCAUUGUGAUGCGAGGCCGCGCGGAAGAGUAAAAAAAACAAUGAGAUAAAUCCAUACAUCUCUUUCGUUCUAUCUAUAGACUGCCUACCCUGUCAACCGACAACUUACAUCGAAAUAUGGUGGUCAUCCAAAAAUGUUGAAGUUGUUUUAUUUAUACGUUUGUGUUUGUGUUUAAGAUUGAGAAUUAAUGAAUGAUACCAUCAAUUUAGAAUUCUGAAAGUAUAUUUCGAUUUUGUCUUUUCCGAACACAAGAUUUCGGAGUACUCGAUAGAUGCAGAGGUCCGACCAAUUGUGCGAUUGUGAAAUAAACUAAAUGCGUAACAUAUAAUUACAUGUUUGGAAUAAACUAGCGAAAUAUAAAUAAAGAUCGUGCGGGAAUAUUAAUCCAAUCUGAACCGAAAAUCCAGCCUGUCGAGCCUAUGUACAACAACCGGGACAGAUACAAAAAAAGUUAAAUGAAGCCUUUCUGACUGGCAUAUAAAACAGGCAGGCAAACAAUCUUCCAAGAAGACAAUUUUUGUACAUUGAGAGGGAGCGAGAAAGGAGAGGGAAUAUUUUGGUUAAAUCUCGAUGACUGGGAUGACAUGAUUCAUUUCUUCCAACUUUUUUGGGCAUAAUCAUUCUUAGACAGUUGAUGAUGCGACGACUACGUAGUGAAGCGAGGAAAGCUUAAGCUCUACGUCCUAGUUGAGCAGAUGCUUUCAAGAUGUUUGACCACGCGAAUAGACCGGCUUAAUACUCUUACAUAAACUUGUCUCCUUUUUAACUUUGAGACAUGUCACAAUUUCUCUCUUUUUCAGUAGUUGCAGUACGUUUUUAAAGCGAACUGAUACAUGACUCUGUCUUCCAGUGAGGUUGGCAAUCUAAACUCAUACAUACAUCCGUCCAUAGGUUCAGGCUUAUAUCAUUCCUCUGGCAAACAAUUUUGGCAGAUGUCAUUGGCUAAUAACUAAUGUCGCCUACUACUACCACCACCAGCACCACUGUGUUCCCCUUUUUCCAAAAACAAAGACUACUGGAAGUUGGCAAUAAUAUGUAUUCAGACAGUUCAGAUUUGACAUGGUCUGUGUCGGUUAAAUCGUACAUUCUCCGAUGUUUUACAUUCCUCCAGCUCUUGAUUUUUAGUAUUGGUUAUAA